Molecule: long non-coding RNA, 1820 nt
Organism: Ruditapes philippinarum (Manila clam)
Lineage: Eukaryota; Metazoa; Mollusca; Bivalvia; Venerida; Veneridae
Exons: 3
Source: RefSeq, a predicted model, not a curated record
AGGAAUUGUUGUAUUAUAACAGGUUUUAUUGUAUUAUUACAGGUAUUGUAGAUGUGAGUUUAAGAUUCCAGUGAUUGUAGAGAGGGAGAAGCCACAGCCACUUGCUCAGACAGGAGAGAUUGAAGAAGAGGAGGUCAUAAUAACAGCAUACUCAAAGUGGGACACAGUGCAAAAAUCAUUGGUGAGGCCAGAUAAUCGACCAGUGAUUCUAAACAGGGCUUCAUCCACAAACACCAGCAAUCCAUUUGGUUCCACUUUCUGCUUUGGAGUACAGGACAUGAUAUUUGAAGUCAUGCAGAAUCAGCAUAUAGCAUCAGUGGCCAUAUAUCAGCAGAAACAGGUGACCCCUGUGGCUGUCUCUUGACAAACAGCGUUGCCUAGGUUACUCACUGCCCCGACCAAUGAAAUCGAAGUCUGCUAGUCAUGUGAUAACAUCAUAGAAAUAACUGCCAAUGAAAUUCUUCCUAUUCAAUGUUUUCUCUGGUUCACAGACUCUUUUUCAGAUGAAUAAGUGCUUUUAUGAAAUUCUGGAUUUUUUUCUAUAAAUAGAUUUAUGUUCUAUUUAUAGAUUUUAUGUUCUAUUUAUAAUUUUAUGUUCUAUUUUUAGAUUUAUUGAAGAGUAUUUGUAAUCCAUUAUGAGAAGACAUUUUGCAUUUUCUGUUACACCUUAUAUAAGAUUUGAGGCAUAUUUCAGCUUUAGAGUUAAUGCAAUUUUAUACAGGAAAUGAAUACUGGACCUAUUUUGCAUUAUCAAUUUGCCAGGCUCGCCUAAAAUCUUUGGUCUUUGAUUAAUUCAAUUUGAAUUUUUACACCCAUGUUGUGACACUUGCAGAAUUUUGUUGCAAAUGACAGAAAAAGAGGGGUUUGAUUGAAUAAGAGGUUUAAAGGAAGAGGUAUAAGAAAAAAUGAGAGGUUUGAUUAAAUAUUUGAGAGAAAGAGGUAUAAAAAAGGCUUAGGGGUUUGAUUAAAUAUUUGAGAGGUUUAAGAAAGAGGUAUAUGAAACAAGAGGAGUUUCAUUAAGUAUUUGAGAGGCUAUAGAAAGAAGUAUUAUAAAAAAAAUGAGGGGUUUGAUGAAAUAUUUUAGAGGUUUAAGAAAGAGGUAUAUAAAAAAAAGCGAUUUUGAUUGAAUAUAUGAGAGAUUUUGUGUAGGAAAGAGUGGAGUAAAGGGAAUGGGGUAAAAAAUGAAUAUUCAGAGAAACUUUGAAAAUUUGAGAGGUUUGAAUAGAUAUUUGAGUGGUCAUUGUAUGAGUGGUAUUAAAAAUCCAAUGCAUAUAAAUACAGAAGAAAAGGGGAAAAUUGAAUUUAAAGUGACUAGCUUGCAUUUAACAGGUAAAUGUUUUAUUUCUGUAUAAAAAAAUCUUACCAUUGAUAACUUUUUAGUAGAUGGAAUAGGUUGAAACUUCAGACACUUGUAGUGAUUAUCUAAAAUGAUGGACACAGGUCCCAUUACUCUGACUUACAUUUACCUACAGAGUUAGUAAAAUAGUGAGGAAAUAAUUUUGCUCUUAUAAAACGUCAGCAAGUUGCUCUUGAGGAUUUAUAAUGAAUAAGGUAAGGAAAAUAUGGACGGGCAGACAUUUGUAACUCUACUCAAUUAUAGAUCUCAUAAUUUUCAUUCUGUUUAUGGGGGAAGAUAUUGUUUGUAACAUUAUAUACAUGAUUCUUUAUAGACUUCUUAAUGUAUUUGUGUAUCCUAUCUAUAUGUUAGUGUACGAAAAUUAACACUUAUAAUAAUUGUUGUUCAUUCCAUUACUGAUGUGGAGAAUUUGACAUUCACGUACGAAGAAGGCAUGGUGAAAUUAUAAAACCUUUGAAAUGCU